UACGAAGGGGGCUAGCGUUGUUCGGAAUUACUGGGCGUAAAGCGCACGUAGGCGGACUAUUAAGUCAGGGGUGAAAUCCCGGGGCUCAACCCCGGAACUGCCUUUGAUACUGGUAGUCUAGAGUCCGGAAGAGGUGAGUGGAAUUCCGAGUGUAGAGGUGAAACUCGUAGAUAUUCGGAGGAACACCAGUGGCGAAGGCGGCUCACUGGUCCGGUACUGACGCUGAGGUGCGAAAGCGUGGGGAGCAAACAGG
RNAcentral lists this ribosomal RNA (253 nucleotides) under uncultured bacterium. RNAcentral's name for it is "partial 16S ribosomal RNA". It matches the Rfam family "Bacterial small subunit ribosomal RNA", at positions 524 to 776 of the family's 1533-position model. The record is from RNAcentral.